RNAcentral lists this transfer RNA (85 nucleotides) under Vibrio alginolyticus. RNAcentral's name for it is "tRNA-Leu". It matches the Rfam family "tRNA". From Rfam's summary of the family: Transfer RNA (tRNA) molecules are approximately 80 nucleotides in length. Their secondary structure includes four short double-helical elements and three loops (D, anti-codon, and T loops). Further hydrogen bonds mediate the characteristic L-shaped molecular structure. tRNAs have two regions of fundamental functional importance: the anti-codon, which is responsible for specific mRNA codon recognition, and the 3' end, to which the tRNAs corresponding amino acid is attached (by aminoacyl-tRNA synthetases). tRNAs cope with the degeneracy of the genetic code in two manners: having more than one tRNA (with a specific anti-codon) for a particular amino acid; and 'wobble' base-pairing, i.e. permitting non-standard base-pairing at the 3rd anti-codon position. The record is from RNAcentral. RNAcentral also lists the same sequence under 1 other name. Lineage: Bacteria; Pseudomonadati; Pseudomonadota; Gammaproteobacteria; Vibrionales; Vibrionaceae.
GCGGAAGUGGCGGAAUUGGUAGACGCAUCAGAUUUAGGUUCUGGCGCCGCAAGGUGUGAGAGUUCAAGUCUCUCCUUCCGCACCA